UUAGGAAUUUUGGGCAAUGGGCGCAAGCCUGACCCAGCAACGCCGCGUGGGUGACGAAGGCCUUCGGGUUGUAAGGCCCUUUUCUGGGGGAAGAUGAUGACGGUACCCCAGGAAGAAGCACCGGCUAACUACGUGCCAGCAGCCGCGGUAAUACGUAGGGUGCGAGCGUUGCCCGGAUUUAUUGGGCGUAAAGAGCGCGCAGGCGGCUCGAUGCGUCUCGUGUGAAAUCCCCCGGCUCAACUGGGGGCAGCCACGGGAUACGGUCGAGCUCGAGCGAGGGAGAGGGUCGUGGAAUUCCCGGAGUAGCGGUGGAAUGCGUAGAGCCCGGGAGGAACACCAGUGGCGAAGGCGAUGACCUGGACCUCUGCUGACGCUGAGGCGCGAAAGCGUGGGGAGCGAUCC
This 402-nucleotide ribosomal RNA is filed under the name uncultured bacterium. Its description in RNAcentral is "bacterial SSU rRNA". It matches the Rfam family "Bacterial small subunit ribosomal RNA", at positions 355 to 774 of the family's 1533-position model. The record is from RNAcentral.